RNAcentral lists this ribosomal RNA (292 nucleotides) under uncultured bacterium. RNAcentral's name for it is "partial 16S ribosomal RNA". It matches the Rfam family "Bacterial small subunit ribosomal RNA", at positions 505 to 796 of the family's 1533-position model. The record is from RNAcentral.
GUGUCAGCCGCCGCGGUAAUACGGAGGGUGCAAGCGUUAUCCGGAUUCACUGGGUUUAAAGGGUGUGUAGGCGGGUAUUUAAGUCAGUGGUGAAAUCUCCGGGCUCAACCCGGAAACUGCCAUUGAUACUAUUUAUCUUGAAUCUUGUUGAGGUAGGCGGAAUAUAUCAUGUAGCGGUGAAAUGCUUAGAUAUGAUAUAGAACACCGAUUGCGAAGGCAGCUUACUAAACAGGCAUUGACGCUGAGGCACGAAAGCGUGGGGAUCAAACAGGAUUAGAAACCCCCGUAGUCC